Molecule: ribosomal RNA, 378 nt
Filed under: Mycobacterium tuberculosis
Lineage: Bacteria; Bacillati; Actinomycetota; Actinomycetes; Mycobacteriales; Mycobacteriaceae
Description: partial 23S ribosomal RNA
Rfam family: Bacterial large subunit ribosomal RNA
Source: RNAcentral
CUUGUCGGGUAAGUUCCGACCUGCACGAAUGGCGUAACGACAGCGGCGCUGUCUCCACCCGAGACUCAGUGAAAUUGAAAUCGCUGUGAAGAUGCAGCGUUCCCGUGGCAAGACGGAAAGACCCCGUGAACCUUUACUAUAGCUUUACACUGAACGUUGAGUUCGUCUGUGUAGGAUAGGUGGGAGGCUAUGAAACUGUGGCGCUAGCUGCAGCGGAGCCAUCCUUGAAAUACCACCCUGUCGUGCUUGACGUUCUAACCUGGGCCCAUUAUCUGGGUCGGGGACCGUGUAUGGUGGGUAGUUUGACUGGGGCGGUCUCCUCCCAAAGUGUAACGGAGGAGUUCGAAGGUACGCUUGGUACGGUCGGACAUCGUACCU